UACGGGGGGGGCAAGCGUUGUUCGGAAUUACUGGGCGUAAAGGGCUUGUAGGCGGCCAACUAAGUCCGACGUGAAAUCCCCAGGCUUAACCUGGGAACUGCGUCGGAUACUGGAUGGCUUGAAUUCGGGAGAGGGAUGCAGAAUUCCCGGUGUAGCGGUGAAAUGCGUAGAUAUCAGGAGGAACACCUGUGGCGAAAGCGGCUCACUGGACCAUAACUGACGCUGAUGCACGAAAGCUAGGGGAGCAAACAGG
Molecule: ribosomal RNA, 253 nt
Filed under: uncultured bacterium
Lineage: Bacteria
Description: partial 16S ribosomal RNA
Rfam family: Bacterial small subunit ribosomal RNA
Source: RNAcentral